Molecule: small nuclear RNA, 140 nt
Organism: Sapajus apella (tufted capuchin)
Lineage: Eukaryota; Metazoa; Chordata; Mammalia; Primates; Cebidae
Product: U4 spliceosomal RNA
Exons: 1
Source: RefSeq, a predicted model, not a curated record
AGCUUUGCACAGUAGCAGUAUUGUAGCCAGUGCAGUUUGUGUGAGGCAUGAUUAUUGCUAAUUGAAAACUUUUCCCAAUACCCUGCCGUGACGACUUGCAACAUAGUCGACAUUGGCAAUUUUUGACAGUCUAUGGAGAC